CCUACGGUGUGCAGCAGUAGGGAAUAUUGCUCAUUGGGGGAACCCCUGAAGCAGCACCGCCGCGUGGUGGAUGAAGGUUUUCGGAUUGUAAACUCCUUUUGUUGGAGAAGAUAAUGACGGUAUCUAACGAAUAAGCACCGGCUAACUCCGUGCCAGCAGCCGCGGUAAUACGGAGGGUGCAAGCGUUACUCGGAAUCACUGGGCGUAAAGAGCGCGUAGGCGGGAUAGAAAGUCAGAUGUGAAAUCCUAUGGCUUAACCAUAGAACUGCAUUUGAAACUGUUAUUCGAGAGUAUGGGAGAGGUAGGUGGAAUUCUUGGUGUAGGGGUAAAAUCCGUAGAGAUCAAGAGGAAUACUCAUUGCGAAGGCGACCUGCUAGAACAUAACUGACGCUGAUGCACGAAAGCGUGGGUAUCGAACAGGAUUAGAUACCCUAGUAGUC
Molecule: ribosomal RNA, 440 nt
Filed under: uncultured bacterium
Lineage: Bacteria
Description: partial 16S ribosomal RNA
Rfam family: Bacterial small subunit ribosomal RNA
Source: RNAcentral